CGUCUGAAAACGGGCGCUAAUACCGUAUAAUGUCUUCGGACCAAAGAUUUAUCGCCAAAGGAUUGGCCCGCGUCUAAUUAGUUAGUUGGUAAGGUAACGGCUUACCAAGACGAUGAUCAGUAGCUGGUCUGAGAGGAUGAUCAGCCACACUGGGACUGAGACACGGCCCAGACUCCUACGGGAGGCAGCAGUGAGGAAUAUUGGACAAUGGAGGAAACUCUGAUCCAGCCAUGCCGCGUGAGUGAAGAAGGCCUUAGGGUCGUAAAGCUCUUUCAAUUGUGAAGAUAAUGACGGUAACAAUAGAAGAAG
RNAcentral lists this ribosomal RNA (309 nucleotides) under uncultured Micavibrio sp. RNAcentral's name for it is "bacterial SSU rRNA". It matches the Rfam family "Bacterial small subunit ribosomal RNA", at positions 147 to 490 of the family's 1533-position model. The record is from RNAcentral. Lineage: Bacteria; Pseudomonadati; Bdellovibrionota; Bdellovibrionia; Bdellovibrionales; Pseudobdellovibrionaceae.